This 3032-nucleotide long non-coding RNA is filed under the name Daphnia pulicaria. Its description in RNAcentral is "uncharacterized LOC124314952, transcript variant X1". Lineage: Eukaryota; Metazoa; Arthropoda; Branchiopoda; Diplostraca; Daphniidae. The record is from RNAcentral.
GUAACCUCAAACAUUCAGUGUCAGACUCACAUUCCUAUUUGAAAUGCUGGCCUGAAAUAAAAAGAAUUCCAAUCUCAAGUCUAUUUAGGUUGGGAUCAGCAACCCCAUUAGUUCCAAACAAUAUUUGCUUGCAGUUGGGGCCAAGAUGAAAUGUUUAAAGACCUUUUGUCAAGAGCUUUACACUAUGCAAUAUCAGUUAGUAGCUGGGUGGCUCCCAUAUCCAGUUGACAAAAUAACAAAGGUAAGAACAAAUCAUUUCAACCUUUGCCAUGUCCUCUUGGUCAUGUGCUUGCAUGCUAUGCCAUUGUUUUCUCUUCUGUCUGACAAGAGUCAUAAUAGAUCAUAUUUGACUUCAACGUCUGAAAACACUUGGCCAUGUUCAUGCUGAUGGCUAUGUUUAUACAAUCAGUUAAUAUUUUCAUUUUUUAUUGUGCUGUAUUGAAGUGAAUUCACAUGUCAUAGCGUAACAGCAUUUCAUUUGAAUCUGGCCAUUUCAGAGUUUGAUAAACUUUUCAAAAUGUGAAGUAAGCGAUGCUGCCUAUGACAGGCAAGGCAAUAUACACAGACUUGUGUAUAUAAUAUUAUAAUGACGUUCGUUUUCUGCAAAGGACGAAUGUGCUCUGUGUUAAGGUGAAAUCCUGCCUACUGUUUCGAGAACAUCAAGUUGAGCCAUCAUUACGUGGUCACAUACCCAUUUUGAUCUAAGAUGUUUACUACCAGAAUACUCCACUACCAGUUCUGUCAGCCAGGUUAAUUUGAAGCUGUUUUUGUCCAAUGCAAAUAAACAUUUCGACUUGCUGCAUGCCAACUGCAUAAAUUGGGAAGUGACCUUGCUUGCAUGGUUAUUGUUUUAGGAGAAAUUUAGUAACUUACUGUCCUCGAAUCAACACUUAUAAUUUUACAGACAGUGCAAUAACAUUUAUUUUUUAUUUCAAGGUCUGGCAUCCUGGUUAAUUCACAGCUGGUUCUGUCCAAUGUAGAACAUUUCGGCUGACCUUGCUGCUUUCUAACUGCAUUAAUUGGGAAGCUACCUUUCUUGCACAUUUACAAAAGUUUGUUGUUUCAUUGCUUCAUAUCUGAUUUGUUUCAUAGGUUUCGUUGAGGCAAGACUGAUAUUGCCAAUGAUGCUGCCAGUCUAAUGCUGUUGCCUGCCUGUUUUAAGGAAUACUUGAUCAAAAUCGAAUUUUCGACGGUGAUUUUGAUUUUUUUUUUUUUUUUUUGUUAUACGUUGAGUGGGUUCUUUAUUUGUUACUAAGUGUGUGGUUUUGAGUUCAGAAAGCUGCUUGUUUUGUUUUUUUUUUUUUUUAUUAUUUAGCUUUUUUUUGCGUCGCGCCAGAAUUUACUUUGUCUUAGGUCUAUAUGGAAUGGUAAGUGGUAAUGAUAGUGGGAGAGGGGUGUUUACGUAUGCUGCCACGUUCCGGGGGCGUUUAGACCAGGUACAAGGAUUAAGACAAAUAGAUAGGUAAGUACAAAUCACCGCAAAGAAAAAGGAAUUAAUUUAAAGAGACCCUAACAUCACAAGAAGUAACAAAAAAUUCGUCUAAGCCGAGUCCUAAGGUAAACACAGUCCAUCUAGUCAGACGUUGAAACGUUAGUCUCUCCAAAUAUUAUUUAUCCGUCGAUGGUUCGAUUAUCAAUUAUCCAUCAUUCAGUUUUUAUUUUAUAACUCGAUAUUUUAAGUGCAGAAUAAUGGAAAAACGGGGAGGAAGGGAUUGAAAGCGGCGGCCAUUUUGAAAUUCAUUUUCUCUCUCCACCACAACCCGGAGAUUUACAUAUAAACUAGUCAAAAUUGAAGACUAGUGAAUCUUUCUUCAUGUUUAUUAAUUCAGACUUAUUAUUAUACAAGUCAAAUUUUUAUUGUUAAUUUAUUGUAAAUGGGGUAUGGGGAAGAGACCACAUUUAAUCUGUAACUACUUUCUCCAAAACGUUCGUUUACAGACAGGACAGGAUUGGUACCUUUGAUACAAAUCGUAUUGAUCCUAACGGAUCAAUAGAAUAACUGGCGUCUGGCGAUCGAAGUUGAUGGAAGGCUGCCGAGAUUUGGGUAUGAUUUGACUUGGCCAGAACUGACGGAUCUGUCAACGUGUCGUCAGGGAGACACAGCACAAAAAUGGCUGGCAACUUCAUGUCUUCCAUAAGCUUGCUUUUCUAUCUACAAUUAACUCCCAUUUAGAUACAGCUGAUGGGUGCCAAGGAGACUAUUUAUCCAUGAAGGACAUCAUGGAUGGUUGCUGGGACUUUUAAUUCCCGAAAAUUGCACCUUCCGCUGACCACUUUUCCCAGUCAUCCAUAAUAGUAUUUCCGGUUUCAAGGCGUGGCACCUUGUGCAAGUAUAAAUAGUCGAGCUAGAAACAGUCCAGCAGUAGCAGUUCCUCAACUGACAAGCAGCUUUGCCAAUAAGCUCCUCCACUUGAAAGCGAUCGAAAAUGAAAUUCGUGAUUGUGUAGGUUUGUUUAAUGGCUGUGGCCGCUGCCGUUGACGAGAAUAAACCGGAUGAUGCGGAUCUCAACACCAACAUCGAAGAUCCAGCCGAUCUGGACGUCGAUGACUGGCACAGUCGCCGUUACUUUGGCCACUAUUACAAUCCCUACGGCCACUACAACCCCUACAGAUACGGCAAACAUUGGCGUGGCCGACGAUCCGCCGCUGAAGACAUCCAGCAACCGGAAGCGGAAGCUAUUCCAGUCGCCGACCAAGACGCUAACGAGCACCGCCGUCGUGGCUACUUCGGCCACUACUACAAUCCCUACGGUUAUCGCAACUACGGAUAUGGCAAAUACUGGCGUGGCUAUUCGUGGCAUUAGAAAUAACAUUCAAAUCUAUAUGAGUGGGUUCUAUAUAAAUGGCUAUCGAUACUUUCAUGUUUUAUUACCUCCCAUUGUUGACCUAACUGGAAUUUGAAAUUUCACUUGGCAAUUCCGUCAUAAUAUUACGCUUCAAAAUGUUGUUUUAACUCUGGAAACUGGAUCUGCUAAAGGUGUUUUGUCAUAUUGCCUUUAGAUUUUCUUUUAAUAAACUUCUUUCAGCAAUAA